This 71-nucleotide transfer RNA is filed under the name Candidatus Coatesiibacteriota bacterium. RNAcentral describes it as "Candidatus Coatesbacteria bacterium tRNA-Gln". It matches the Rfam family "tRNA". Rfam says of the family: Transfer RNA (tRNA) molecules are approximately 80 nucleotides in length. Lineage: Bacteria; Candidatus Coatesiibacteriota. The record is from RNAcentral.
UGGGGUGUCGUUCAACGGUAGGACAGAGGACUCUGGAUCCUUUAAUUGGGGUUCGAAUCCCUGCACCCCAG